AAAAAGGGCUUCUGCCAUGAGUGGCACACGGAGGGCAGAAUUGCUUGCUCUAUGUGCAGAAUGGACAUUAAGAGAUUUCAGAAGCAUAAUUUUUUUGAAGUAGGGCAGCUGGUGAUCGUUGGGCUUAGUGCUCCC
Sorex araneus (European shrew) is the source of this 135-nucleotide small nuclear RNA. The record is from Ensembl. NCBI's taxonomy places the organism in Eukaryota, Metazoa, Chordata, Mammalia, Eulipotyphla, Soricidae.